Cyprinus carpio carpio is the source of this 1314-nucleotide long non-coding RNA. Lineage: Eukaryota; Metazoa; Chordata; Actinopteri; Cypriniformes; Cyprinidae. The record is from Ensembl.
AAAAUUUAAACAAAAUAAAAAAAAUUUAUAAGAAAAAAAAGUAUUUUAAAAGCUAUACUAUUUUAGUGGAGUAGAAUAUGUGGAUUGGAGAUUGUUAGGAGCAUGUUCAGCCAUUUUUAUCCAUGAAGAAAAAAAACAAGGGGGGAACUGUCCAUCAUCCAUCGUUUUUUCUUUUUAAUUUAUUAUUUUUUUUGCUCUGAGGUUCCUCAGAUGUCAAAAAUCGGCCCACAUUCCAGAGAACAAAUGCUGAGUAUAACUAUAUAUGCAUGUGCGAAGUGUUGCUGGUUUAGUGAAACCUUGGGCAGUUAUUCAGUACACAUAAACAAACAUAUUUAUCCGAUGAAAGCUUUACUUAUCAAGCAGAAUAAGUACCUGUGGCUUUAAAGCAAAUUAUCCGCAAUAUAACAGCUAUACCAAUUCACAGGUAAAUAAUACAAAAAAUACAGUUAACGCUUGACAGGGAUUUAUUCAUUAUUUGUGCACUGCUUUAGUGAUUUUUCAACUGAAGCGGUUCUAGUUUGUUUCAUCAGAAUUUUACAGGGACCCUCUUGCAGCAUCAAAAAAAUAAUCAAAUUUAGCCUUGGAAACCUGCACAAUCAAUUCCACAUUAACAUUCAUUUCAAUAAUAAAUGAGUUUAUGAUAUAGAAAACACUGGGGGACGACUCGUGGGAUCUGCAAAUAACCCAUAUUUCUAAGAAUACGCUUCUCAGGCUGGUAUGGAUUAGCUUGACGCUAACUGUUUGCAAAGGUCUAAUGAGCAGCCUGUAAAGAGCUCACGAACAGCUUGCAAAUAGCAGCCAUGGGGGUUACAGUUGGAGCAAACUGAUCCAUCAAUGAAAAAAGCCAGCGAGUCUGACAUUUUGGUGUACGUAACCGCAGCUGUUGCUUUGCCCUCAGACAAGUCGCAAAUAUGCACAACUCUAAAGUGCUUGACAAGAAUCUUAAAGACCCCAUGAAAUCAAAUCUAAAUUGGAGUUUUGUGGUGCUUUGUUAAUGUGUUAGCUCUGAGGCUAAUGCUACCUGACAAAACCAACACCACAAUUUGAAAUUUACUUCUUUUGGUAAAAUUACCCUAAAUAUUAAUGACUACACAUUUUGGUCCAAUCAGAAGAAUGAAGUCAGAGUUGGUGGAUGUUUGUUAGCUUUGAUGUCAGUUCUAGUGUAUGCUAGUGUACUAGUUUUAAGAGCAGUACGCAUUUGAUUUGUAGUUUUUUGUUUUUCGUUACUAGCAAAACGGACCAAAAAUACUUACUUAUCAUGCGCUACCAAUUUUUUGUCCAGUCAGAUGCUCUGGAGUUAGAAAGUUCCUUUUA